UACAGACCAAACUAAACGACUAAAAAAAUCCUAGUGACAGAAGCACAGGUCACACAGUGAUGAAGAAAGCUCCACACUAGCUAUGACCAGAGAGUUGCAACGGAACAAGAAUAUAGUAAAUGUCGGAAUGCCAGAAGAACAGACAUCUGAGUAAGAAAUUAAUGGAAAGGCACUGGGCCAGGGUGUCCUAUCUGAACUACUUACUGUAGAAACAAAGAGAAUGAGGUCAUGUAGGCUUAUUGGGAAAUGAUGGGAUAUCAUCAUC
Molecule: long non-coding RNA, 265 nt
Filed under: Linum usitatissimum (flax)
Lineage: Eukaryota; Viridiplantae; Streptophyta; Magnoliopsida; Malpighiales; Linaceae
Description: long non-coding RNA (LUSI_LNC002270)
Source: RNAcentral